UACGUAGGGUGCGAGCGUUAAUCGGAAUUACUGGGCGUAAAGCGUGCGCAGGCGGUUUUGUAAGCCAGAUGUGAAAUCCCCGGGCUUAACCUGGGAAUGGCAUUUGGGACUGCAAGGCUUGAGUGCGGCAGAGGAGACUGGAAUUCCUGGUGUAGCAGUGAAAUGCGUAGAUAUCAGGAGGAACACCGACGGCGCAGGCAGCGUCCUGGCCGCUUGCUGACACUGAGGCACGAAAGCUGGGGGAGCAAACAGG
Molecule: ribosomal RNA, 253 nt
Filed under: uncultured bacterium
Lineage: Bacteria
Description: partial 16S ribosomal RNA
Rfam family: Bacterial small subunit ribosomal RNA
Source: RNAcentral